This 129-nucleotide small nucleolar RNA is filed under the name Peromyscus maniculatus bairdii (prairie deer mouse). RNAcentral describes it as "Small nucleolar RNA SNORA70 (ENSPEMG00000003506.2)". It matches the Rfam family "Small nucleolar RNA SNORA70". From Rfam's summary of the family: snoRNA U70 seems to be exclusive to mammals and is a member of the H/ACA class of snoRNA which contain H (ANANNA) and ACA box motifs. H/ACA box snoRNAs are involved in the conversion of uridines to pseudouridines (5-ribosyluracil) a constituent of structural RNAs (transfer, ribosomal, small nuclear, and small nucleolar). Lineage: Eukaryota; Metazoa; Chordata; Mammalia; Rodentia; Cricetidae. The record is from Rfam by way of RNAcentral.
CUGCAGCUGAUUAAGCCAAACAGAUUUCUUUCACCGGGACCUGGUGUGCAAUGGUUGCAAACAGCAUCCUCCUUGGGAGUGUGUGCAGUCUGUUGCUUGUUGGAUUGCUCUAGAGAAACUGAGUUAUCU